UCUUUUUCUUUUUCCCAAACGUAGUGUGUGUUUGUUUUUGAAGCCGACAGCGAAUUUCUUUUCCCAAACGUAGUGUUUAGUUUGUUUUUGAAGCAGACAGCGAAUUUGCAGAAGAAAGGAGAAGAGGUGAUGAAGGGUUUUGGAAGAUUGGUGCGGCACGGUCUCUGCAGAAGAUCAGAUGUUUGUUCCCGAAAUAGUGCUCGCUAUGCCUCUACUCGCCUCUUAUUCGUUUCUUCAACAACCACAGCGUCUUCUUCGACUUCACAAAACCUCAAAGCGUUCUCUGGUUUCACUUCAUUAAAAUCCUCACCUAUCUCUUCAUUGCACUCCUUAAAAUGGGACGCUUUUGGAGUCUUAUUUUAUGGCAAUGUUACCUUGGCAGGGCAGAGGAGGACCAUGUUUAUCCAAACACAAUCGACUCCCAAUCCUUCAUCCUUCAUGUUCUAUCCUGGGAAGCCAGUCAUGGAAGUUGGGAGUGCAGACUUUCCUAAUGCUCGUUCAGCCAUGAAUUCACCACUAGCAAAGGCCCUGUACGGGAUUGAUGGAAUUACUCGAGUUUUCUUUGGAUCAGAUUUUAUAACUGUAACAAAAUCAGAAGAUGUUCCCUGGGAUAUUUUAAAGCCCGAAAUUUUUGCUGCAAUUAUGGACUUCUAUUCCUCUGGGAAGCCUCUCUUUUUGGACGCUAAUACUGCAGCUUCCAUGGACACAGCUAUUAGUGAAGAUGAUUCAGAGAUUGUUGCAAUGAUUAAAGAACUGUUGGAAACUCGUAUCCGACCUGCAGUACAAGAUGACGGUGGAGAUAUUGAGUACCGGGGAUUUGAUCCAGAUACAGGAAUAGUCAAACUUAGAAUGCAAGGAGCAUGCAGUGGCUGCCCUAGCUCAUCUGUUACUCUGAAAUCUGGCAUUGAGAACAUGCUGAUGCAUUAUGUGCCCGAGGUUAAAGCGGUGGAGCAGGAACUUGAUGAUGAAGAUGAAGCAGCAACAUUACCCGGUUAGAUCGAGUAAUUGAAUAUUUUCUCUUGUUUUAUGGGCUACUUCCGGUUGAGCUUGAUGACUACUGGGAGAAGAGGGAAGAGAGAAGAAAAAGAGAAGAGGUGAUGGCGGCACGACGAAGGUGAUGGUGCUACGAUGAUGGCACAACGGUGGGUCUCUUCGUCCCUCUUCUCUCACCAGAUCUAUGUGUGUAUGCGCACAGAUCUAUACACAGAUCUGUCUCCGAAUUGGUUUUGAUUUGUAGGUUUGUUUUUUAUUUUGAUUUGGUUUUGAUUUGUAGAUUUGUUUUUUAUUUUGAUUUGGUUUUGAUUUGUAUA
Camellia sinensis is the source of this 1310-nucleotide non-coding RNA. The record is from RefSeq and is a predicted model, not a curated record. Lineage: Eukaryota; Viridiplantae; Streptophyta; Magnoliopsida; Ericales; Theaceae.